GGGGUGUAAUGAUAGACAGGAGGAUAUGGGCAGGAGAGGAGGGAUGAGAGAGAGGAAGAAAGGGGUGAGAGAGUAGGGAUGAGAUGAUGAGAGAGAAGGUGAGAAAGCAGGGGUGAAAUGAAAGACAGGAGGAUAUGGGCAGGAGAGGAGGGAUGAGAGAGAGGAAGAAAGGGGUGAGAGAGUAGGGAUGAGAUGAUGAGAGAGAAGGAAAGAGGUGAGAGAGCAGAGGCAAAAUGAGAAAGAGGAAGAUAUUGAUAUUGGCAGGAGAGAAGGGGGGGGGGUGGUUGAGAGAGGAGGAAAGGAGUGAAAGAGUAGAGAUGAGAUGAUGAGAGAGAAGGUGAGAAAGCAGGGGUGAAAUGAAAGACAGGAGGAUAUGGGCAGGAGAGGAGGGAUGAGAUAGGAAGAAAGGAGUGAGAGAAUAGAGAUGAGAUGAUAAGAGAGGUGAGAGAGCAGGGGUGAAAUGAGUGAGAGGAGAAUAUGGGUAAGAGAGGAGGGAUGUGAUAGAGGAUGGAUGAGUUGAGAGAGAGGAGGAGAAAGAUGAAAUGAUAGAGAGGAUUGGCAAGUAAGCGGGGGGAGUAAAAUGAGAUGAGAGAGAGGAUGAGGGAAGGAAGGGAGGGUGAGAAAGGCUGGAAGGAAGAGGAAGAAGAGGGAAAUGAGAGAGGAAAGGGAGAGAAGGAAAAAGAUGAUAUGGAGAGAAGUAGAGGGAAGAGAGAAAAAAGUGAGAGGAGUAUAAUGGGGUCACAUGUCCAUGUAAAUAACAUUUUACACACGGAGACAGGAAGAUUGAUUUUCUCCUUCACCAGAACCUAAAUGUAUAAUCCAUUGGCUGAAAUUGUAAACGACACCAGAUCUUACUUGAUUUGAGAGGCUGGCACAUGUUUGAUGUAGAUGUAUAUAGGAACAGGAGUAUAUCUAUGCAAUUUAUUGUGACGCCAUUUUUUAUUGUAGAUAUUUAUUUUUUAUGAUCUUAAGUUUGUACUGUGCAUUAACUGGCUGUCAGUAAUAAUUAUCCUAUAUAUAUAUAUAUACAUAUAACUUACUAUCAGUAGAUAUUGUAGAUUUAAUGCUUUGUUAUAUAGGUACUGAGGGCACGUAUAAUCUGUAAUAAUGGCUCUGUUUCAGAAAAUGUUGAGCAUUGUGCCUUGACAGAUGUACUUAAUUUAUGAGAGUUGUACAUCUUCAUCCAAUAAUAAAUAAAAUAGAUGUUA
Molecule: long non-coding RNA, 1208 nt
Organism: Ylistrum balloti
Lineage: Eukaryota; Metazoa; Mollusca; Bivalvia; Pectinida; Pectinidae
Exons: 2
Source: RefSeq, a predicted model, not a curated record